CACACCCCCUACUGGGGAUGUGCCCACAACCAAGGUUAUACAAUCACGUUUCAUGGAGCAGAGUGGAGAGUUAAUUGACUAUGUUUUUCUGUCAAGAAGAUACAUGUUAAGGCUGCUGUGGGGUUGAAGGGAGAAAGAAAUGGCUGUGCCACGACUUCCCUUCUUCCUCUCAUUAAAAGCUCUGCAGUCAAAGCACUCAGUUAAUAUUCUCACGCACAGGCACGUGGAAACCAACCCUUCCCAUCUGCUUAUGCAAAGAGCCAUCGUGCUGUGAGAUAGAAAUUAUGCCCCUCUGGAGCAACAACGGGGAGAAAACUGAAGCAUGCUAGAAUCAGAGAAAACAGUUCUCUGAGGCACGAAGAACUCCUUCCCCCAGCACUUGGCUCCUACUUCUGCUUUAUGGCUCUUGUAAUUGUGUCUAUGUGAAUCCAUGUUGCACCGACACAAGUUCUUAAUUAUAGUUAUCAAUCAAUA
Long non-coding RNA from Myotis davidii, 474 nucleotides. RefSeq lists it as uncharacterized. The transcript has 4 exons. NCBI's taxonomy places the organism in Eukaryota, Metazoa, Chordata, Mammalia, Chiroptera, Vespertilionidae. The record is from RefSeq and is a predicted model, not a curated record.